RNAcentral lists this ribosomal RNA (490 nucleotides) under uncultured bacterium. RNAcentral's name for it is "partial 16S ribosomal RNA". It matches the Rfam family "Bacterial small subunit ribosomal RNA", at positions 28 to 507 of the family's 1533-position model. The record is from RNAcentral.
GAUGAACGCUAGCUACAGGCUUAACACAUGCAAGUCGCGGGGCAGCAUGGGGGUUGCUUGCAAUCCCCGAUGGCGACCGGCGCACGGGUGAGUAACGCGUAUCCAACCUGCCCUUCACCACGGGAUAACCCGGCGAAAGUCGGACUAAUACCGUAUGUUGUCCAUUGACGGCAUCCGAUUUGGACGAAAGGUUUGGCGGUGAAGGAUGGGGAUGCGUCCGAUUAGCUGGACGGCGGGGUGACGGCCCACCGUGGCGACGAUCGGUAGGGGUUCUGAGAGGAAGGUCCCCCACACUGGAACUGAGACACGGUCCAGACUCCUACGGGAGGCAGCAGUGAGGAAGAUUGGCCAAUGGGCGUAAGCCUGAACCAGCCAAGUAGCGUGCAGGAGGACGGCCCUAUGGGUUGUAAACUGCUUUUAUGCGGGGAUAAAGUGGCCCACGUGUGGGUUUUUGCAGGUACCGCAUGAAUAAGGACCGGCUAAUUCCGUG